AUUGAACGCUGGCGGAAUGCUUUACACAUGCAAGUCGAACGGCAGCACGGACUUCGGUCUGGUGGCGAGUGGCGAACGGGUGAGUAAUGUAUCGGAACGUGCCCAGUCGUGGGGGAUAACGUAGUGAAAAUUACGCUAAUACCGCAUACGAUCUAUGGAUGAAAGCGGGGGAUCGCAAGACCUCGCGCGAUUGGAGCGGCCGAUAGCAGAUUAGGUAGUUGGUGGGGUAAAGGCCCACCAAGCCAACGAUCUGUAGCUGGUCUGAGAGGACGACCAGCCAAACUGGAACUGAGACACGGUCCAGACUCCUACGGGAGGCAGCAGUGGGGAAUUUUGGACACUGGGCGAAAGCCUGAUCCAGCCAUUCCGCGUGCAGGAUGAAGGCCCUCGGGUUGUAAACUGCUUUUGUACAGAACGAAAAGGUUUCUACUAAUACUAGGAGCUCAUGACGGUACUGUAAGAAUAAGCACCGGCUAACUACGUGCCAGCCGCCGCAGUAA
Molecule: ribosomal RNA, 500 nt
Filed under: uncultured bacterium
Lineage: Bacteria
Description: partial 16S ribosomal RNA
Rfam family: Bacterial small subunit ribosomal RNA
Source: RNAcentral